Long non-coding RNA from Toxorhynchites rutilus septentrionalis, 3021 nucleotides. RefSeq lists it as uncharacterized. The record is from RefSeq and is a predicted model, not a curated record. The transcript is spliced from 3 exons. Lineage: Eukaryota; Metazoa; Arthropoda; Insecta; Diptera; Culicidae.
UCAGCUCACGUUUGUGUGUACCGUGAUUAUAAUGAACUAUCAAACAGUAAAAGAGUUUUGCAACAUCAUAUGUAAACAUCCUGUGUUUCAGCUUUUUAACAAGGAAAAAAUAUGGGACGAACAUUCAAGCCAAAAAUCCCAAAACGUGAUCCGGCGAUACUUCGUUCGGCGGUUAAAGCAAUGAAAACCGGAUGGUCACUUCGCGCAACCGGACGUGAGUUUUGAAUUCCUCGAUCAACUUUAUUAUUACAUCGAAAGAAUAAUGAACAUGGAACGCCGAACGAGGAGGAAAGAGCCGUGGGACAGUCGAACGAUCAGGUGGACAAUAUUAAAAUUGUGGAGAGAGGCCACAGAAUGGUGUUCAACGCUUCACAAGAAACAUCUAUCGAAAACACCUUCUGCAUGCGUCAGACAUUUAUUUCGGCUUGACAUCGGUUCAAGUGCGAGCCUUGGCCUAUGAAUUUGCCAGACAACUGGAUGUUGACUAUCCGCCCUCUUGGAAUCGGGAUGAAUUGGCCGGCUUAGAAUGGUUUCGCUUUUUCAUGUCCCGACAUCCAAAAUUAUCGCUGAGAAAACCUGAAGCCACUAGCUUAGGCAGAGCCAGCGCAUUUAAUCCAACGAAUGUUGCUGCCUUCUUCGCUAAUUACUUUCAUGUAAUGAACGAAAUAAAGAUCGGACCAUGCGAUAUCUGGAAUGUUGAUGAAACGGGUGUAUCUACAGUGCAUAGAACGGUCCGUGUUAUAUCUCGUUGUGGUCGGAAGCAGAUCGGGCAAAUCACAUCUGCCGAGCGUGGACAAUUGGUGACACUUGUUCAAGCUGUAUCGGCAACUGGAAUGCGUGCACCGUCGUCUUUUGUGUUCCCACGCGCAAGUUUCGAAGAGUGUUUUUUGAAUGGUGGGCCGUCUGGUUCAACUGGAGGAGCAAAUCCGAGUGGAUGGAUUAAUGCAGAGAUGUUUCUAGAAUUUUUGAAAAACUUUUGAAUUUUGAAAAACUUGUUCUGCUAGACAAUCACGAAUCGCAUCGUUCCUUGGCAGCACUGCAGUUUUGUCGAGAUAAUGGAAUUCAUGCUGUGUCCUUCCCGCCCCAUUGCUCUCAUCGCCUUCAGCCACUAGACGUCAGCGUAUUUGGUCCGUUAAAAAUUGCGAUUAACAAGCAAUUCGAAUUAUUCUUGCGAAUGCAUCCAGGGCGCGGCGUUCAUAUUUUCGACAUUCCGGCGAUGGUGACACGAGCUCUAGAAGUGGGAGCUGAUGAAAGGAACAUAAAAGCGGAAUUUAAAGCCACUGGAAUUUGGCCGAUGGAUUCGGACAUAUUCAUAGAUAUCGAUUUUAUGCCGAGUGCCACAACCAAUCGAGCUGAACCAACAACUGUUGAAGACGAAAAUGAAAAUGAAGAGGAAAGAAAUGAACCAUCACACCAAGCAGAAGUAAAAGAAAUCAUCGACCGAUCGCUAUUCCUAAGUUCGACAAUUGAAUCGCUUUCGCCAUUCCCGGAAGCUCCACCACGCAUUCAGAAGAAACAAAGAGGUCGUAAGCCAGGACGGACGAUGAUUUUGACAGAUGGUAAAGAAAUUGAAAAAAUCGAAGAAGAAGAAAGACAACGUCGUAUCAGUGAGAUAUCCAAGCAGGAUAAAAUCCAACAGCAAAAAGAGAAACGCGAAUAUUUAGAAAAUGUUAAAAUGGAAAAUAAAAUUAACAAAUGCCGUGUAAAGUCAAUUCAUUUAUUGUGAUUGAUUGUUCUUCGUUACAAGUAAAUUUAAUGACGGACCUUUUACGUUUGGUAUGAUGACUAGAACAAAAUAUAUGUACGGAAGAAUUAUCAAACGUUUGAUGAACCAGCCUAAGGCUGAAAAUCUUUCCAAUAAAGACAACAAAAAAAAUUAUCAAACGAUUAUUUUAUUUUACAUUUCCCUCUGAAGUUUACAUCCCAAAAGUGUACAUACUUCUCGAAUCUCGAAUUUGCUUGAAACUGGGAAGUUCAUUCGCUUCUAGUGGCUGCACGAUUUUCCCAGGUUCCUAAGUUUAGAAGAUCAUGUUAGGACAGACAUAUUCCACUCUGCACAAAGGCAAGCGAGGACAAAAGUACUCGCAGUUUGCAUUUAUUUGCAGAGCCGAUUUCCCCAGAAACCUCGGUUUUGAAGUCUGUGUUAGGGAAACACAUUUCAAUCGUAUGAAUUCGCAAUGCCGAUUUCCCCACGCUUCAUGGAUUUGAAGUCUGUGUUAGGGAAACACAUUCCAGUCGGAACAAAAAUACCCCCGACUUGCAUGAAUUUGAAAUACCGAUUUCUCCAGGCACCUUGGUUUAGAAAUCUCUAUUAGGGAACACAUUUCGGUGGGAACAAAAGCUCCCCCUACUUUCGUGUGUUCUUUUUCUUCUUUUUGGCUUUAAGAGGGUUUAAACUUUUCAGUUCACUCGCCUCUAGGCUCUUUCGUGUGCUUGCAAUGCCGAUUUCGCUGCUUGGUUUUAAAGUCUGUGUUAGGGAACAUUUUUCGAUGAGAACAAAAGUCCCCCUACUUUCAUGUAUUUGCAAUGCCGAUUUCCCCAAGGCUGCUUGGUUUUGAUGGUUGUGUUAGGGAAACCGUAAAUCGGGCCAAUCAAAACGAUGCAGUUAGGGCGUUUAGAUAACGCCUAAUAUUUUACAGUUAUUCAAUUGUUUAUCUAAUGAAAAACAACAUUUUGUUAGUUGCGAUAGAUGCGUAGAAAUAUUUCCUAUCAAGUGAUGCAAACAUCUCUCCUAUCCAGUACGAAAUGUUCGAGCUAUAAGCAUUCGAAAUCUUUCAUUUUUUCCUGCAUGUUCUGUGUUUAGGUUUUCAUUUUACCCUCCAUAUAUUCCGGUUAGACGUAGUCCCACGUCAAAAAGCAACAAGAGGAAAACAAGAAGUUACGAGGAUUGAAAAAGAAGCAGCAAGAAGAGAGGAAGAAACUACAAGAAAUAAAGAAGAUGCAACAAGAAGAAAACAAGAAGACACAAGAAUUGAAAAACAAGCAGAAAGAAUAAAUAAAUAAACUACAAGAAAUGAAGAA